CAUACGCCUCCGCAUGGCGUUACGUCACCCAACUCCCCCAGGGCAGGAAUGCAGCAAGGGUAAGUGGCCUCUGACGGGUGUGCGGAGGUUUUUCUUU
This is a non-coding RNA of Bifidobacterium thermophilum RBL67, 97 nucleotides long. Lineage: Bacteria; Bacillati; Actinomycetota; Actinomycetes; Bifidobacteriales; Bifidobacteriaceae. The record is from Rfam.